Molecule: long non-coding RNA, 871 nt
Organism: Homo sapiens (human)
Lineage: Eukaryota; Metazoa; Chordata; Mammalia; Primates; Hominidae
Exons: 2
Source: RefSeq, a predicted model, not a curated record
AGUCCUUCCUGAAGUCUGCCCUGCGUGGGGCCUGCUGCCAGAAGCCUGGGCCGGAGGGGAGGGGCGAGGACGAAGUAGCGAACCGUCCGCUGGCUGUCUUAGAAGGAUGAAAAGUGAAUUCUGAGCCUGGCUGUGGGAGCUGCGAAAUCUGCUUGCCCAGAAUGGCAGACAAGAUCUUGGAGACGAGACGGUUUUAGGUCUGCAGUCAACCAGCUCUAUUUUGUCUCACCAGCACUUCACAUCCGGCUUACUACCUCCGGGCACUAUUCUAAGUAUGUUACAAAUACGAACUCAUUUUAUCUUCACAAUAUUUUUGGUCCUGCCUGUGCAGAUCCCUUUUGGACAGUGAGGGAAACUGAGGCACAGAGCGGAGAAGCUGCUUGCUCAAGGUCAUCAUUUGAACCCAUGUCGGAGUUAUCGUUCCUCUGUGCUGUGCGCCCGUGGGAGAGGCAUUAACACUCAAAAUACGAAACUGCACAGAGUCAAGAAAACGCACUCGUGGACGGCCUGCGGACCACUAGUUUGAGACCCCAGCCUCAACAUGAGCAUCUGUGCAAAUAGACACGAACUGUCCUCCUCCCAGAAGUAGACCUGGGCAUCCUGACCCCAUGAACACAGGGACUUGCUGUCUCUCCCCAAACUGGAUUCAGGCAUCAUGGCUUUUGAACACAGGGCUGAUGAUCCUUCCCAGAAGAGAAUGCAGGCAUCUUGGCCCCAUAAAAAUAGGGGUCCUGGGCCGGGCUCAGUAGCUCACGGCCUGUAAUCCCAGAACUUUGGGAGGCCUAGGCCGGUGGAUCACCUGGGGUCAGGAGUUCAAGACCAGCCUGGCCAACAUGGCUAAACCCUGUCUCUAUUAAAAAUACAAAAAUUA